Molecule: ribosomal RNA, 226 nt
Filed under: Trabeculus hexakon
Lineage: Eukaryota; Metazoa; Arthropoda; Insecta; Psocodea; Philopteridae
Description: partial 12S ribosomal RNA
Source: RNAcentral
AACUGAUUAWGAUAUGUUUAUCUGAAAAGUUCAGUCAUAUGGCGGUUUUGUGUCUAACUAGAGAAACAUGUUUAUUUAUACGACAAUACACGAGCAUCUUACUUAUAACUACCUUACACACCGUCGUCGGAAGGGUUGUAUAGAAAUAUAGCUCUUAUACUUAAUCAAGUAUUAAGUCAGAUCAAGGCGUAGGAUCAUUUAUAAGAUUAAAUGUGUCUCAUUGAGU